UUUCUAGGAUGGAGAUUCCAGGAAUAGCUAUUUCUAGAAGAGGGAAGUAGUUCUAUAGAAAGAAACAUAUUUAGAGCAGAGUCAGACUGUUGUAUAUAAACCAUAUAAAUUUCACAGAACCUCCCCCCAAAAUAUUAUAAGUUUUUCUAUCACACUGGGUUAUGCUAUACCUUAACCAUUAAUUGUGGUUUUAUUUCUAUGGGAAUAUGUUCCAAGUUCAAAGUAAGAGACUUAUAAAACCAUUUUUGGAAUGCAACUUGUUCAUAAAUUGAGGACUUCCUGUACUUCUACAGUAUAUCUAUUACUCUAUUGGCUAGAAGUAUUAUAGAUUGAUGUGCAAAUCUCAGUUUAUAGCCAGUCUCAAGUGGAUAUUACAUCUAUCAGAGUCAUCCCUAGAAUAAAGUAAAUUGUGAAGAUUACCCUGAAACCUGUGCUUUUUAGAGAAUUAUUGCAGAUCUAUCAGUGCUCCCAGACUGCCAGUUGGUAGUCUGUUACAUGACAGGAUGUCCCAGUACAGCUCAGGUGAAACCAGAUCUGGCCCAACCUUGCUCCUGCAACACAGAAUUCUACCUAGGAAAUAACAAGCAGGAAGAACUCAGAAAGACCUGGAAAGACUUACAUAAACUGAAGCAAAGUGAUAUAAGCAGAACCAUGAGAACAUUAUAGAAAGAGACGGGAAAACUACAAUCAACAAAUGUGAAUAACAGCUAUUCUCAGCAAUAUAAUGACUCAGAACUACCCCAAAAGACUCAUGAUAAAU
Molecule: long non-coding RNA, 760 nt
Organism: Monodelphis domestica (gray short-tailed opossum)
Lineage: Eukaryota; Metazoa; Chordata; Mammalia; Didelphimorphia; Didelphidae
Source: RefSeq, a predicted model, not a curated record